GGUGGACGCAAUAUCUAUUUUACAUUGAUGUGGUGCUGAGGAUCGAACCCAGUGCUUCAUGCAUGCCAGGUGACUCCCAUAGGGAGUAUGUCUGGCCAAGCCCUGUCCCACGCUUCCACUGAGCUUGCAGUGCCUGGAGCAGAGCAGCGGGUUGAGGACCUGAGGACAGAGAUGAGACUCACCUCUAAAUUCUUCACCCCAUCUGCAAAACAAAUAAAUAAAUAAAUAAUAAGCCUCUGA
This is a long non-coding RNA of Marmota flaviventris (yellow-bellied marmot), 240 nucleotides long. RefSeq lists it as uncharacterized. The record is from RefSeq and is a predicted model, not a curated record. NCBI's taxonomy places the organism in Eukaryota, Metazoa, Chordata, Mammalia, Rodentia, Sciuridae.